Molecule: long non-coding RNA, 452 nt
Filed under: Hordeum vulgare
Lineage: Eukaryota; Viridiplantae; Streptophyta; Magnoliopsida; Poales; Poaceae
Description: long non-coding RNA (HVUL_LNC003906)
Source: RNAcentral
CAAAAUAUAUCGAGAACUUUUAUUUCAUCAAACUACAUAGAUGUCUUAUACGUACAUAUGAAAGUUUGAAACUGAUAUAGAGAGAUACAAUAGUUUGCACACAUAGAUACACGAAUCACCCUAUGCGACGACAACCAGCUGGCCUUUCCCGACGACCGGAGGGUGACAAGCGAUCAGGGGGUCUGUGUUCACGAAGACCACGGCUGUACUGUCCCUCGUGUUCCUGUGUCUGUGACUCAUGCAUAGGUGGUGGAGUCUGAAAUCUAUAUUGAGAUGAUGAUUCAAAAUUGUAGGUGAAUGGCUGUGACUUAGAAUUGAUAUAAGAUGGACCAAUAACGUCCCCCCCAAAAAAUCAUUUAGCAUUCCUGGGAGCGUGCAUUGAGUAGCAUGGGUUUCUGUGAGUAUUUCUUUGUGUACGCCACGAUGGGUUUCUUCAUCUCCCCAUGAUGGAC